GACGAACGCUGGCGGCGUGCUUAACACAUGCAAGUCGAACGGAAAGGCCCUGCGUUUGUGGGGUGCUCGAGUGGCGAACGGGUGAGUAACACGUGAGUAACCUGCCCUUGACUUUGGGAUAACUUCAUGAAACUGGGGCUAAUGCCGGAUAGGAGCUCCUGCUUCAUGGUGGGGGUUGGAAAGUUUCGGCGGUUGGGGAUGGACUCGCGGCUUAUCAGCUUGUUGGCGGGGUAGUGGCUUACCAAGGCUUUGACGGGUAGCCGGUCUGAGAGGGUGACCGGCCACAUUGGGACUGAGGUACGGCCCAGUCUCCUACGGGAGGCAGGAGGGGGGAAAAUUGCACAAUGGGAGGAAGCCUGAUGCAGCGACGCCGCGUGCGGGAUGACGACCUUCGGGUUGUAAACCGCUUUCGCCUGUGACGAAGAGUGAGUGACGGUAAUGGGUAAAGAAGCACCGGCUAACUACGUG
This 468-nucleotide ribosomal RNA is filed under the name uncultured bacterium. RNAcentral describes it as "partial 16S ribosomal RNA". It matches the Rfam family "Bacterial small subunit ribosomal RNA", at positions 28 to 507 of the family's 1533-position model. The record is from RNAcentral.